UAUGGAAGCUGUCAAUAUCGAUC
Molecule: microRNA, 23 nt
Filed under: Heligmosomoides polygyrus
Lineage: Eukaryota; Metazoa; Nematoda; Chromadorea; Rhabditida; Heligmosomidae
Description: hpo-miR-10064-5p
Source: miRBase by way of RNAcentral